This 447-nucleotide ribosomal RNA is filed under the name uncultured bacterium. RNAcentral describes it as "bacterial SSU rRNA". It matches the Rfam family "Bacterial small subunit ribosomal RNA", at positions 355 to 825 of the family's 1533-position model. The record is from RNAcentral.
UCGGGAAUUUUGGGCAAUGGGGGAAACCCUGACCCAGCAACGCCGCGUGAAGGAUGAAGUAUUUCGGUAUGUAAACUUCGAAAGAAUAGGAAGAAUAAAUGACGGUACUAUUUAUAAGGUCCGGCUAACUACGUGCCAGCAGCCGCGGUAAUACGUAGGGACCAAGCGUUGUUCGGAUUUACUGGGCGUAAAGGGCGCGUAGGCGGCAUGACAAGUCACUUGUGAAAUCUCUGGGCUUAACCCAGAACGGCCAAGUGAUACUGUCGCGCUAGAGUGCAGAAGGGGCAAUCGGAAUUCUUGGUGUAGCGGUGAAAUGCGUAGAUAUCAAGAGGAACACCUGAGGUGAAGACGGGUUGCUGGGCUGACAUUGACGCUGAGGCACGAAAGCGUGGGGAGCGAACAGGAUUAGAUACCCUCGUAGUCCCUGAGCGGGCUGGCAAGGCGCAU